UACAGAGACUGCAAGCGUUAUUCGGAUUCACUGGGUUUAAAGGGUGCGUAGGUGGGUUGGUAAGUCAGUGGUGAAAUCUCCAGGCUUAACUUGGAAACUGCCAUUGAUACUAUCAAUCUUGAAUGCCGUGGAGGUCAGCGGAAUAUGUCAUGUAGCGGUGAAAUGCUUAGAUAUGACAUAGAACACCAAUUGCGAAGGCAGCUGGCUACACGAAUAUUGACACUGAUGCACGAAAGCGUGGGGAUCAAACAGG
RNAcentral lists this ribosomal RNA (253 nucleotides) under uncultured bacterium. RNAcentral describes it as "partial 16S ribosomal RNA". It matches the Rfam family "Bacterial small subunit ribosomal RNA", at positions 524 to 776 of the family's 1533-position model. The record is from RNAcentral.